GACGAACGCUGGCGGCGUGCUUAACACAUGCAAGUCGAACGGAAAGGCCCUGCUUUUGUGGGGUGCUCGAGUGGCGAACGGGUGAGUAACACGUGAGUAACCUGCCCUUGACUGUGGGAUAACUUCAGGAAACUGGGGCUAAUACCGGAGAGGAGCGCCUGCUGCAUGGUGGGGGUUGGAAAGUUUCGGCGGUUGGGGAUGGACUCGCGGCUUAUCAGCUUGUUGGUGGGGUAGUGUCUUACCAAGGCAUUGACGAGUAGCCGGCCUGAGAGGGUGACCGGCACCAUUGGGACUGAGAUACGGCCCAGACUGCUACGGGAGGCAGCGGCGGGGAAUAUUGCACAAUGGGCGGAAGCCUGAUGGAGCAACGCCGCGUGCGGGAUGACGGCCUUCGGGUUGUAAACCGCUUUCGCCUGUGACGAAGCGUGAGUGACGGUAAUGGGUAAAGAAGCACCGGCUAACUACGU
Molecule: ribosomal RNA, 467 nt
Filed under: uncultured bacterium
Lineage: Bacteria
Description: partial 16S ribosomal RNA
Rfam family: Bacterial small subunit ribosomal RNA
Source: RNAcentral